Molecule: non-coding RNA, 98 nt
Filed under: Vibrio hepatarius
Lineage: Bacteria; Pseudomonadati; Pseudomonadota; Gammaproteobacteria; Vibrionales; Vibrionaceae
Description: TPP sequence
Rfam family: TPP riboswitch aptamer (THI element)
About the family: Vitamin B(1) in its active form thiamin pyrophosphate (TPP) is an essential coenzyme that is synthesised by coupling of pyrimidine and thiazole moieties in bacteria. The previously detected thiamin-regulatory element, thi box was extended, resulting in a new, highly conserved RNA secondary structure, the THI element, which is widely distributed in eubacteria and also occurs in some archaea.
Source: RNAcentral
UGGAAAUAGUCGGGGAGCCGAAAGGCUGAGAUCGCAUAGCGAGACCCGUAGAACCUGAUUCAGUUAGCACUGGCGUAGGGAACUAUUAGCGUCGCACC